Non-coding RNA from Ovis aries (sheep), 73 nucleotides. Lineage: Eukaryota; Metazoa; Chordata; Mammalia; Artiodactyla; Bovidae. The record is from Rfam.
UCUCUGGUGGCUCAGAGGUUAAAGUGUCUGCCUCCAAUGCGGGAGACCCGGGUUCGAUCCCUGGGUUUGGGAA